UGGAUGGUAGCUCAGUUGGUUAGAGCAUCUGCCUGAUGAGCAGGAGGUCGUGAGUUCAAAUCCCACUCAUCCAA
This 74-nucleotide transfer RNA is filed under the name bacterium. Its description in RNAcentral is "tRNA-Ile". It matches the Rfam family "tRNA". Rfam says of the family: Transfer RNA (tRNA) molecules are approximately 80 nucleotides in length. The record is from RNAcentral.